CUCGCUUCAUAUUUUGGUUUAAGUGCUUCCAUUCUGCCAACUGUCUUGUUGGGUGAGCACAAUACACUUUUACUAAUUACUGCUUUGGUGAUUCAUCUGUUUCACUUCUGUUAUUCCUGAACUUUUGACAUUCCACAGGAUCAGAAGUGAGAUCCAAAGAAACCCGCCAAUGACUCAGGCUGCCAUGCAACUAAAGCUGGAUAACUUGAUAUACACUUCAAAGAAAUCAGCACAACAGCUCAUGUGUGGACAAUCUCCAUGCCUACUGCUAUGCAGCCACUCAGAGCUCACCAGAGACAUUCACAGUGCAAACCAGGAAUGUGUCAGAUCGCCGCUGCCUGCCUUCACUCCAUCUAAAGAUGCUUAGAACCCGACAUCUAGAAAUCUUCUCAACUGGCUGCUCUCCAAACUCAGAAACUGAAUUUAUAAUUUGCUUAAACUAUUAACCUUUGUUUUUCUUCUGUUUCCAUAGAAAUGCCUCUCAUUAAAUUACCUGAUUGCUCACAUCAGAAUGAGACCUAAAGCAGGUGAAAAUUCACCUGCAACACUGCCUCCUGAAAUACAACAUCCUCAUAUUCAUCCUGUCCUAAGUAAUCAUGAGGAUAUGUGUUUGCCGAGACAUCGUGUUAUGCCUAUAACCCAUUUGAGUUAUUCAACUGGUUAAAUUUCGGUGUCUACAGUCUCAGCUCUGGGGAAUUUCUUAAUCUGUGGCUAUUGUUCUCCCUAUAGUCAUCAUAUUAAUCUCACUAGCGUAUCGUAUACUCUCUCAGGUUUUAAACACCUGUCAGUCCCCACUCACAUGCCACAUGGUAUUCACAAAGGAUUAGGCAACUGGAUGGAAUCAACAAUAACUACACAAAUGAUGAAGAUAGUGACUACAUGGCCCUCUGGCCUGACUACUCAACUCAUGGAAACAGCAGAUAUAUGAUUCUUUGGCCUGAUUACAUCAACAGUGGUAAGGAGAAUAACGUGAUACCAGUUGGUCAUACUCUCAACCUGCUGAGAGAAUGACCAAAAGGGAGGGAAUUCUCGAAACGAAAACCAAACUAGAGACGAGCCUUGAAAAUUCCCUGAGCAGACAAAACCAGGUUAGUCAUACAAACAGAGCUGAAGUCAGCUUAUUUUGCAAGACUAACUUGACCUAGGUCAUUUCUUGCUUUUGCUUCUGGAAAUCAUAAGCAAAACUUGAUCUGUUCCCCAAGGUUGAUAUGAAGUAACCACUGACCAAUUAUUUAUCACUUAAGAAAAUUCUAAUAUUAUAACCCUUGUGAAGAAUAAACAGUCAGUGCUUUCUCACUAUAUAAGCUUCUUACCACAAUAUACCCCUGAGCCCCACUUCAUGUUUUGGUUUGAGUACUCCUGGUCUGCAAACUGUCUUUUUGUGGUGUGCACAAUAAACUUUUACUAAUUACUACUUC
Molecule: long non-coding RNA, 1418 nt
Organism: Leopardus geoffroyi (Geoffroy's cat)
Lineage: Eukaryota; Metazoa; Chordata; Mammalia; Carnivora; Felidae
Exons: 2
Source: RefSeq, a predicted model, not a curated record